Molecule: long non-coding RNA, 866 nt
Organism: Bos indicus x Bos taurus (hybrid cattle)
Lineage: Eukaryota; Metazoa; Chordata; Mammalia; Artiodactyla; Bovidae
Source: Ensembl
AUGUGUGGGAAAGAAUUAUUCAAAGAAUUACUACCAACCUGUGGCCCAAGAUCUGAUUGUUGGGCCUUGUUGAAGUGCCUGGGAAAUGGCCAAGUGGAGUUUUUAGAAGAUCAAACCAGGGAGAAGUGCAUUUACUGUUUUGGAACAGAUGAAGCACAGCACAGGAUGAUUGACAUCCUUGUGAUCCACCCUCCAUCCAUACAAGAACUAGCUCUCUUUGAUUUCAGAGACUUGAAGAGAAAAGGAGAACAAGAGCUCUGUGGGCAGAUUGCAGUGCACUUACCAGUAGAACCGAAGGGGUCCUCCAUCGUGGACUUGACCCAGAGGCUCCCACCUGGUAGCACUGAUGGUUCCAUGGAACUGCUGAGUGUUGUUUCAUCCUUGGGGUUUGCAGGAAAGAAUCCAUAUAUUACCACCUGCUCGGGUCCCAUCUCAUUGCUGUGAUGCUGUACCAUGAUUGACAGCAUCGCCUCGAAUAUAGAGAAUAUGAAGGAACCCUCCAGAGAAAAAGCUGCCCUAGAGAAAAGGUUGGCAAAUUGUUUUCUAAAGUAAAUAUAUUAGGCUUUAUGUGCUACAUGAAUCACUGCUGCAUGUUUUUUUUUCUUCUGCUAAGCCGCCUUAGUACUACCAUGAGGAAAAAGGACUGGAAGUAGGAUCAAAACUGAGCAGAAAAAGGAAAAUAGGGACAAUGGAAGGAGGGAAUGCAGAAAAACUAAGGAGGGCAAAUUGGAACAUAUUUUAGAAAGUAUCAAGGCCGUAUGUUUGUUAUUAUGAAACAGAAUGAACUCUAGAGAUAGGUGAAAAAAAUGAUUGGCAUCUACCUUUUGCAAAAAUAAAAGGAAAAUUCAUUUUACUUAAGUAGAGCA